AGGAUUAACGCUGGCGGCGUGCCUAACACAUGCAAGUCGAACGAGGUAGCAAUACCUAGUGGCAGACGGGUGAGUAACGCGUGGUCAACCUACCGUUGAGUGGGGGAUAACUAGCCGAAAGGUUAGCUAAUACCGCAUACGUCUCCGAGGGGCAUCCCUUGGCGAUAAAAGGAGCAAUCCGCUCGAUGACGGGACCGCGUCCCAUUAGCUAGAUGGUGGGGUAACGGCCUACCAUGGCACCGAUGGGUAGCUGGUUUGAGAGAGCGACCAGCCACACUGGGACUGAGAAACGGCCCAGACUCCUACGGGAGGCAGCAGUGAGGAAUUUUCCGCAAUGGGCGCAAGCCUGACGGAGCGACGCCGCGUGUGGGAAGAAGGCCUUCGGUCGUAAACCACUGUCGAAGGGGACGAUAAUGACGGUACCCUUGGAGAAACGCCCGGCUAACUACGUGCCAGCAGCCGC
This 463-nucleotide ribosomal RNA is filed under the name uncultured bacterium. Its description in RNAcentral is "SSU rRNA". It matches the Rfam family "Bacterial small subunit ribosomal RNA", at positions 26 to 518 of the family's 1533-position model. The record is from RNAcentral.